GCGGGCACAGCUCAGUGGCAGAGCAUGUGCUUGGCAUGCACGAGGUCCUGGGCUCAAUCCCCAGUGCCCCCA
This 72-nucleotide transfer RNA is filed under the name Camelus bactrianus (Bactrian camel). It matches the Rfam family "tRNA". Rfam says of the family: Transfer RNA (tRNA) molecules are approximately 80 nucleotides in length. Their secondary structure includes four short double-helical elements and three loops (D, anti-codon, and T loops). Further hydrogen bonds mediate the characteristic L-shaped molecular structure. tRNAs have two regions of fundamental functional importance: the anti-codon, which is responsible for specific mRNA codon recognition, and the 3' end, to which the tRNAs corresponding amino acid is attached (by aminoacyl-tRNA synthetases). tRNAs cope with the degeneracy of the genetic code in two manners: having more than one tRNA (with a specific anti-codon) for a particular amino acid; and 'wobble' base-pairing, i.e. permitting non-standard base-pairing at the 3rd anti-codon position. RNAcentral also lists the same sequence under 2 other names. The record is from Rfam by way of RNAcentral. Lineage: Eukaryota; Metazoa; Chordata; Mammalia; Artiodactyla; Camelidae.